GGUACCUGAAGAAAAAGCAUCGGCUAACUCCGUGCCAGCAGCCGCGGUAAUACGGAGGAUGCAAGCGUUAUCCGGAAUCAUUGGGCGUAAAGGGUCCGCAGGUGGCGAAUAAAGUCUGCUGUUAAAGACCGGGGCUUAACUCCGGAAAGGCAGUGGAAACUGAUUAGCUAGAGUACGGUAGGGGUAGAGGGAAUUCCCAGUGUAGCGGUGAAAUGCGUAGAUAUUGGGAAGAACACCGGUGGCGAAAGCGCUCUACUAGGCCGAAACUGACACUGAGGGACGAAAGCUAGGGUAGCGAAAGGGAUUAGAUACCCCUGUAGUCUUAGCGGUAAACGAUGGAUACUAGGUGUAGCUUGUAUCAACCCGAGCUGUGCCGAAGCUAACGCGAUAAGUAUCCCGCCUGGGGAGUACGCACGCAAGUGUGAAACUCAAAGGAAUUGACGGGGGCCCGCACAGGCGGUGGAGUAUGUGGUUUAAUUCGAUGCAACGCGAAGAACCUUACCAGGGCUUGACAUGUCGCGAAUCUAGCGGAAACGUUAGAGUGCCUUAGGGAAUGCGAACACAGGUGGUGCAUGGCUGUCGUCAGCUCGUGUCGUGAGAUGUUGGGUUAAGUCCCGCAACGAGCGCAACCCUCGUCCUUAGUUGCCAAUAUUAAGUUAGGCACUCUAGGGAGACUGCCGGGGACAACUCGGAGGAAGGUGGGGAUGACGUCAAGUCAGCAUGCCCCUUACGUCCUGGGCUACACACGUACUACAAUGGUUGGGACAAAGGGCAGCAAGCUCGCGAGAGUAAGCGAAUCUCAUCAAACCCAGCCACAGUUCAGAUUGCAGGCUGCAACUCGCCUGCAUGAAGUAGGAAUCGCUAGUAAUCGCAGGUCAGCAUACUGCGGUGAAUUCGUUCCCGGGCCUUGUACACACCGCCCGUCACACCAUGGAAGCUGGCUACGCCCGAAGUCGUUACCCUAACCCGGUUUUGGGAGGGGGAUGCCGAAGGUAGAGCUAGUGACUGGGGUGAAGUCGUAACAAGGUAGCCGUACCGGAAGGUGUGGCUGGAUCACCUCCUUUACAGGGAGACCUAGUCUAAUUACCAAUAGAUGAAAAAGUUGGUAAUUCGCAAGAAUCCUUAGGUCGUGAAGGGAGCAAGAAAAAACUUUCAAACUGUAAUGGGUGAGGGUCAAUGGGCUAUUAGCUCAGGUGGUUAGAGCGCACCCCUGAUAAGGGUGAGGUCCCUGGUUCAAGUCCAGGAUGGCCCACCUAAAAUACACAGGCAUCCUGCCUGUGUCACAAAAAAAGGAAAAAGUUAUGGCAUUGUCUCUUGUAAUCAAGAGCAAGAGAUAAUGCUGGAAUAGAUUCCAGCAAGAA
RNAcentral lists this unclassified non-coding RNA (1361 nucleotides) under uncultured cyanobacterium. RNAcentral describes it as "bacterial SSU rRNA". The stretch from base 1 to 1064 matches the Rfam family "Bacterial small subunit ribosomal RNA", at positions 474 to 1533 of the family's 1533-position model. The record is from RNAcentral. Lineage: Bacteria; Bacillati; Cyanobacteriota.